Molecule: ribosomal RNA, 424 nt
Filed under: Diogenes arguinensis
Lineage: Eukaryota; Metazoa; Arthropoda; Malacostraca; Decapoda; Diogenidae
Description: partial large subunit ribosomal RNA
Rfam family: Archaeal large subunit ribosomal RNA
Source: RNAcentral
UCAUUAGUCUUUUAAUUGAAGGCUCGUAUGAAUGGUUGGACGAGGAAUAAACUGUUUCAAUUAUAUAAAUUGAAUUUAACUUUUAAGUGAAAAGGCUUAAAUUUUCUAAAAAGACGAUAAGACCCUAUAAAUCUUUACAUUAAAAUUUACAGUUAUUUAAUUUGUAAGUUCAAAAGAAAAUGUUAAUUUAAUGUUAUGUUGGGGAGACAAAAAUAUAAUAAAAAUAACUAUUUUUUUAUAAAACAAAAAUUAUUGAAUUAAAGAUCCUUUUUAAAGAUUAAAAAAUUAAGUUACUUUAGGGAUAACAGCGUUAUUCUUUUUGAGAGUUCCCAUCGAAAAAAGAGUUUGCGACCUCGAUGUUGAAUUAAAAUUUCUUUAUGGUGCAGCAGCUAUAGAAGAAAGUCUGUUCGACUUUUAAAAUUUU